RNAcentral lists this long non-coding RNA (261 nucleotides) under Daucus carota (carrot). Its description in RNAcentral is "long non-coding RNA (DCAR_LNC005533)". The record is from RNAcentral. Lineage: Eukaryota; Viridiplantae; Streptophyta; Magnoliopsida; Apiales; Apiaceae.
CUUGUUUCUGUCAUCAGACUUUACCUCUUUAAGCUUAUGUUUAAGCUGUUUCUGAGUCAUCAGUCCUAUGUUAACCUGUUUGGGCUUUUCAGAUUUUAAAUUGUUGUUAAUCUCUGAUUUUGGUCUACAUUGUUUAGUCUUAGAGGAUUCAACAACAAAUUUAACAGGUUUAACCUUAGGUUUUUGAGUUUUAACAAACUCUGUUUUUGAUGACUCAGCUUCUGAGUUAUCAGUGUAACCUAGUCCCUUCUUCCAGUUUCC